ACCAGCUCCUCAAGUGAUUCGGACUUUUACUGGGCCUAAAGCGUCCGUAGCCGGGCCUGCCAGUCUUCGGUCAAAUCCGGCAGCUCAACUGUCGGCCUGCUGGAGAUACUACAGGCCUUGGAGGCGGGAGAGGUAGAGGGUACUCCUAGGGUAGGGGUGAAAUCCGUUAAUCCUAGGGGGACCACCAGUGGCGAAGGCGCUCUACUGGAACGCGCUCGACGGUGAGGGACGAAAGCCAGGGGAGCGAACCGGAUUAGAUACCCGGGUAGUCCUGUGCUGUAAACCAUGCGAGCUAGGUGUUGGCCCAGCCACGAGCUGAGUCAGUGCCGUAGGGAAGCCGCUAAGCUCGCCGCCUGGGGAGUACGGUCGCAAGGCUGAAACUUAAGGAAUUGGCGGGGAGCACCACAAGGGGUGAAGCCUGCGGUUU
RNAcentral lists this ribosomal RNA (427 nucleotides) under uncultured archaeon. RNAcentral's name for it is "bacterial SSU rRNA". It matches the Rfam family "Archaeal small subunit ribosomal RNA", at positions 475 to 903 of the family's 1478-position model. The record is from RNAcentral.